Caenorhabditis elegans is the source of this 141-nucleotide non-coding RNA. The record is from Ensembl. Lineage: Eukaryota; Metazoa; Nematoda; Chromadorea; Rhabditida; Rhabditidae.
ACAAUUGUUUCAGAGAAGAACAAGACGGAGGGGGACAUGAGAGAAGUGGGAGAAAGAGAAACUUGGAAUCACUCUUUUCUCACUUGACAAUGCAGUUAGUAGGCGAUAAAAUGUAUCCCCACGGGGGAUUUCAACGCAGGG